This 72-nucleotide transfer RNA is filed under the name Schistocerca americana (American grasshopper). RNAcentral describes it as "tRNA-Pro". It matches the Rfam family "tRNA". From Rfam's summary of the family: Transfer RNA (tRNA) molecules are approximately 80 nucleotides in length. Their secondary structure includes four short double-helical elements and three loops (D, anti-codon, and T loops). Further hydrogen bonds mediate the characteristic L-shaped molecular structure. tRNAs have two regions of fundamental functional importance: the anti-codon, which is responsible for specific mRNA codon recognition, and the 3' end, to which the tRNAs corresponding amino acid is attached (by aminoacyl-tRNA synthetases). tRNAs cope with the degeneracy of the genetic code in two manners: having more than one tRNA (with a specific anti-codon) for a particular amino acid; and 'wobble' base-pairing, i.e. permitting non-standard base-pairing at the 3rd anti-codon position. The record is from RNAcentral. Lineage: Eukaryota; Metazoa; Arthropoda; Insecta; Orthoptera; Acrididae.
GGCUCGUUGGUCUAGGGGUAUGAUUCUUGCUUAGGGUGCAGCAGGUCCCGGGUUCAAAUCCCGGACGAGCCC